UACGGAGGGUGCUAGCGUUGUUCGGAAUUACUGGGCGUAAAGCGCGCGUAGGCGGCUUUGUAAGUUAGAGGUGAAAGCCCGGAGCUCAACUCCGGAAUAGCCUUUAAGACUGCAUCGCUAGAACGUUGGAGAGGUAAGUGGAAUUCCGAGUGUAGAGGUGAAAUUCGUAGAUAUUCGGAAGAACACCAGUGGCGAAGGCGACUUACUGGACAACUGUUGACGCUGAGGUGCGAAAGCGUGGGGAGCAAACAGG
This 253-nucleotide ribosomal RNA is filed under the name uncultured bacterium. RNAcentral describes it as "partial 16S ribosomal RNA". It matches the Rfam family "Bacterial small subunit ribosomal RNA", at positions 524 to 776 of the family's 1533-position model. The record is from RNAcentral.